Molecule: ribosomal RNA, 494 nt
Filed under: uncultured bacterium
Lineage: Bacteria
Description: bacterial SSU rRNA
Rfam family: Bacterial small subunit ribosomal RNA
Source: RNAcentral
AUUGAACGCUGGCGGCAUGCCUUACACAUGCAAGUCGAACGGCAGCGCGUCCUUCGGGAUGGCGGCGAGUGGCGAACGGGUGAGUAAUACAUCGGAACGUGCCCGAGAGUGGGGGAUAACGCAGCGAAAGCUGUGCUAAUACCGCAUACGAUCUCAGGAUGAAAGCAGGGGACCGCAAGGCCUUGCGCUCACGGAGCGGCCGAUGGCAGAUUAGGUAGUUGGUGGGAUAAAAGCUUACCAAGCCGACGAUCUGUAGCUGGUCUGAGAGGACGACCAGCCACACUGGGACUGAGACACGGCCCAGACUCCUACGGGAGGCAGCAGUGGGGAAUUUUGGACAAUGGGGGAACCCUGAUCCAGCCAUGCCGCGUGCAGGAUGAAAGGCCUUCGGGUUGUAAACUGCUUUUGUACGGAACGAAAAGGUCUUUUCUAAAUAAAGAAGGCUGAUGACGGUACCGUAAGAAUAAGCACGGCUAAUACGUCCACAGCCGACG